Molecule: ribosomal RNA, 389 nt
Filed under: uncultured bacterium
Lineage: Bacteria
Description: bacterial SSU rRNA
Rfam family: Bacterial small subunit ribosomal RNA
Source: RNAcentral
GACGAACGCUGGCGGCGUGCUUAACACAUGCAAGUCGAGCGGUAAGGCCCUUUCGGGGGUACGACGAGCGGCGAACGGGUGAGUAACACGUGGGUGACCUGCCCUCAGCUCUGGGAUAAGCCUGGGAAACCGGGUCUAAUACCGGAUAUGACUCCAUGACGCAUGUUGUGGGGUGGAAAGCCUUGUGCGGCUGAGGAUGGGCCCGCGGCCUAUCAGCUUGUUGGUGGGGGUGAGGCCUACCAAGGCGACGACGGGUAGCCGGCCUGAGAGGGCGACCGGCCACACUGGGACUGAGACACGGCCCAGACUCCUACGGGAGGCAGCAGUGGGGAAUCUUGCGCAAUGGGCGAAAGCCUGACGCAGCGACGCCGCGUGAGGGAUGACGGCCU